RNAcentral lists this ribosomal RNA (497 nucleotides) under uncultured bacterium. Its description in RNAcentral is "partial 16S ribosomal RNA". It matches the Rfam family "Bacterial small subunit ribosomal RNA", at positions 28 to 507 of the family's 1533-position model. The record is from RNAcentral.
GACGAACGCUGGCGGCGUGCCUAAUACAUGCAAGUUGAGCGCUGAAGGUUGGUACUUGUACCGACUGGAUGAGCAGCGAACGGGUGAGUAACGCGUGGGGAAUCUGCCUUUGAGCGGGGGACAACAUUUGGAAACGAAUGCUAAUACCGCAUAAAAACUUUAAACACAAGUUUUAAGUUUGAAAGAUGCAAUUGCAUCACUCAAAGAUGAUCCCGCGUUGUAUUAGCUAGUUGGUGAGGUAAAGGCUCACCAAGGCGAUGAUACAUAGCCGACCUGAGAGGGUGAUCGGCCACAUUGGGACUGAGACACGGCCCAAACUCCUACGGGAGGCAGCAGUAGGGAAUCUUCGGCAAUGGACGAAAGUCUGACCGAGCAACGCCGCGUGAGUGAAGAAGGUUUUCGGAUCGUAAAACUCUGUUGGUAGAGAAGAACGUUGGUGAGAGUGCAAAGCUCAUCAAGUGACGGUAACUACCCAGAAAGGGACGGCUAACUACGUG